RNAcentral lists this small RNA (139 nucleotides) under Arabidopsis thaliana (thale cress). Its description in RNAcentral is "ATSL150080". The record is from RNAcentral. Lineage: Eukaryota; Viridiplantae; Streptophyta; Magnoliopsida; Brassicales; Brassicaceae.
AUGUGCAUUAUUUUUUCAAAAUAGUUAAAAAUUUCUCAUUUCACUAUAAUUGUUUCUGUUAUAUUUUAUAAUUCAUUCGUCAUCUUUCGCCAUCUACUCUCUUUUCACCUUAUAUUGGCUCAGAUAUAAUAUAUUCAAC